Molecule: ribosomal RNA, 926 nt
Filed under: Lactiplantibacillus plantarum
Lineage: Bacteria; Bacillati; Bacillota; Bacilli; Lactobacillales; Lactobacillaceae
Description: bacterial SSU rRNA
Rfam family: Bacterial small subunit ribosomal RNA
Source: RNAcentral
AGUCGAACGAACUCUGGUAUUGAUUGGUGCUUGCAUCAUGAUUUACAUUUGAGUGAGUGGCGAACUGGUGAGUAACACGUGGGAAACCUGCCCAGAAGCGGGGGAUAACACCUGGAAACAGAUGCUAAUACCGCAUAACAACUUGGACCGCAGGGUCCGAGCUUGAAAGAUGGCUUCGGCUAUCACUUUUGGAUGGUCCCGCGGCGUAUUAGCUAGAUGGUGGGGUAACGGCUCACCAUGGCAAUGAUACGUAGCCGACCUGAGAGGGUAAUCGGCCACAUUGGGACUGAGACACGGCCCAAACUCCUACGGGAGGCAGCAGUAGGGAAUCUUCCACAAUGGACGAAAGUCUGAUGGAGCAACGCCGCGUGAGUGAAGAAGGGUUUCGGCUCGUAAAACUCUGUUGUUAAAGAAGAACAUAUCUGAGAGUAACUGUUCAGGUAUUGACGGUAUUUAACCAGAAAGCCACGGCUAACUACGUGCCAGCAGCCGCGGUAAUACGUAGGUGGCAAGCGUUGUCCGGAUUUAUUGGGCGUAAAGCGAGCGCAGGCGGUUUUUUAAGUCUGAUGUGAAAGCCUUCGGCUCAACCGAAGAAGUGCAUCGGAAACUGGGAAACUUGAGUGCAGAAGAGGACAGUGGAACUCCAUGUGUAGCGGUGAAAUGCGUAGAUAUAUGGAAGAACACCAGUGGCGAAUGCGGCUGUCUGGUCUGUAACUGACGCUGAGGCUCGAAAGUAUGGGUAGCAAACAGGAUUAGAUACCCUGGUAGUCCAUACCGUAACGAUGAAUGCUAAGUGUUGGAGGGUUUCCGCCCUUCAGUGCUGCAGCUAACGCACUAAGCAUUCCGCCUGGGGAGUACGGCCGCAAGGCUGCACUCACAGGAAUUGACGGGCGCCCGCACAGCGGUGGAGCAUGUGGUUUAAUUCG